Molecule: long non-coding RNA, 1526 nt
Organism: Lotus japonicus
Lineage: Eukaryota; Viridiplantae; Streptophyta; Magnoliopsida; Fabales; Fabaceae
Exons: 7
Source: RefSeq, a predicted model, not a curated record
GCUUACAGUGCCACGAAGCAUUCCUCUUUCUCACUCUUGCGAACCAGUUUCCCUCCAAUAUUUCUCACCCUCGCUCUCUCUUCCCUUCUCUUUGCCCUCACUCUUCUUCCUCCGACGGUUGCGGCGACGGCGUUUGUGGCGGCUGCGGCCACACUGUUCCCUUCCCCGAUGAACAUGCCUCGUUGCCCACUAGAAACCUAUGUCGCAGCGGUGAUCUAGGCCCCACAGAUCGAAGGAACUCGCCGUUUCUCGAUUCCACUAUACGAGCACGAUUGAGUGUUCCAUCAAACCCUAAUUCCCCUUUCAAUUCCUAUUUCUGCGCCCACUCUGCUUCUUAUUGUUUCUUCUUACUAUUGAUUGUUGUGAAUUUAACUGCUGAAUUUGUUUGAUUUGAAUAAUGUUUCUUCUUCAUCCUCAUUGCUAAUUCCUCUAACUUUUUGUUUUGUAAGAUUGCACUAAGAUUUUGGCUCAGGAUGGAAAAUCAGUCAGUGUAGACAUGGUACUCUCGAUCUAAAUGUGUGUAUUGGCAAAUGAAGCCAGAAACAGAGCUUGGAGGUGGUCUAAAUGAGGAUUCUUCAACCUCACCUUUACCCAGAGUUUUUAAGGAACUGUGUUUGCCUACGGUGUGACAAGUAGUGGAAAGACACAUUUCCAAAUCAACCUAUGAGGUUAAGAGUAUUCAAGGUUGAGCUGAUUUUGUUGGAUUCAAUCCUUUAGAUCUUUUUUUCUCUGUCAUAAGAGUUGAAUUAUGGAACAAGAAUGUCAAGACUUGCCUCCCUAACUGCAGAGUAGAAACACUUAAUAGUGAAGAGGCUCAGAAUCUUUUACCUAGUGUGUGUUUACCAUUCAACUCACGUUUCUAUAUGCCCAAAGCUCUUAACAUCCGUUCUCAACACUAUCUUCAGGCACUUUUCCUAGCAUGUGAGAAUUUGGUGAAAGAAUCCUCCACCCUUGACUCGGGUCAGAAACAGCUCGAUUUACACGAAAGAGCUGUCCAUAGACUUUCCGAGUUUGAAGAGAUCUGGGCAGUCAAGGUUUGAAAGGUCUCAUAAGCAAUCAGAUUAGUCUUUUGUCAGACUUGGUAAGCCUGUAAGUAUCAGCAGCAAAAUGUUCACAUAUUCUUAUCAUCUUUCCCACCAUGUGGCUUAUAUAUAUUUUUUAUGUCAACAUGUACUGAUAUAUACGGUUGGAAACAUGAUAUAAUUGGCUGAGGUCCAUAAAACUUCACCUUGUUUUGAAUUGCUCUGUUGUUGUUCAUGUGUUCUGUGAAACUGCAGUUAUUAUUAUGUUCAUUAAUUUUAGAAGUGUCUUGAUAAGCUUAUAUAGACAAUUAGCUUAUGAUAUUAUUCUAUUAUCCUAUUUCUUCUUUAGCUUAUCUUAUGGUUAAUAAGUAAACUCAACAAUUAAUGAGGUUAAAAAUGUCCCUAGAAUAAACUCUAGUAGUCAAGGAAGGUUUAAGGGAGGUUUAAAGCUGUAAAUAAUCUCUUGCAAUUAAGGGAGGUUGAAAACUCCCGUUAAAAAAAGCU